Molecule: ribosomal RNA, 438 nt
Filed under: uncultured bacterium
Lineage: Bacteria
Description: bacterial SSU rRNA
Rfam family: Bacterial small subunit ribosomal RNA
Source: RNAcentral
AUACGGGAGGCAGCAGUGGGGAAUAUUGCGCAAUGGGGGAAACCCUGACGCAGCAACGCCGCGUGGAGGAAGAAGGUCUUCGGAUUGUAAACUCCUGUCUUCAGGGACGAAUAAUGACGGUACCUGAGGAGGAAGCCACGGCUAACUACGUGCCAGCAGCCGCGGUAAUACGUAGGUGGCAAGCGUUGUCCGGAAUUAUUGGGCGUAAAGGGCGCGUAGGCGGCACCCUAAGUCAGAUGUGAAAUCCCGGGGCUUAACUCCGGACGUGCAUUUGAAACUGGGGAGCUUGAGUGCAGGAGAGGUAAGUGGAAUUCCUAGUGUAGCGGUGAAAUGCGUAGAUAUUAGGAGGAACACCAGUGGCGAAGGCGACUUACUGGACUGUAACUGACGCUGAGGCGCGAAAGCGUGGGGAGCAAACAGGAUUAGAUACCCCCGUAC